GACGAACGCUGGCGGCGUGCUUAACACAUGCAAGUCGAACAGUGGCGAACGGGUGAGUAACACGUGAGUAACCUGCCCUCCACUUUGGGAUAACUCCGAGAAAUCGGGGCUAAUACUGGCUAGUGGGGGAUGGGCUGGCGGCCUAUCCGUUUGUUAGUGAGGUAGUGGUCACCAAGGCGUGACGGGUAGCCGGCCUGAGAGGGCGACCGGCGACAAGGGGACUACGGCAGGGACCAGACGCCAACGGGAGGCAGCGGGGGAAAGUAUUGCACAAUGGGGGAAAGCCUGAUGCAGAGACGCCGGGUGGGGAAAGACGGCGUUCGGGGUAUAAACAUCUGUCAGCAAGGAAGCGGUACUUGCAGAAGAAGCGCCGGCUAACUACGUGCCAGCAGCCGCGGUAAUAC
RNAcentral lists this ribosomal RNA (404 nucleotides) under uncultured bacterium. RNAcentral describes it as "partial 16S ribosomal RNA". It matches the Rfam family "Bacterial small subunit ribosomal RNA", at positions 28 to 526 of the family's 1533-position model. The record is from RNAcentral.